UGAGGAAUAUUGCGCAAUGGACGAAAGUCUGACGCAGCCAUGCCGCGUGCAGGAUUGAAGGCCCUAUGGGUUGUAAACUGCUUUUGUACGGGAAUAAACGCUCCUACGUGUAGGAGCCUGAAGGUACCGUAAGAAUAAGCACCGGCUAACUCCGUGCCAGCAGCCGCGGUAAUACGGAGGGUGCAAGCGUUAUCCGGAUUUAUUGGGUUUAAAGGGUCCGUAGGCGGGCCGUUAAGUCAGUGGUGAAAGCCCACAGCUCAACUGUGGAAUUGCCAUUGAUACUGGCGGUCUUGAGUAUGUAUGAAGUUGGCGGAAUGUGUGGUGUAGCGGUGAAAUGCUUAGAUAUCACACAGAACACCGAUUGCGAAGGCAGCUGGCUAAUACAUAACUGACGCUGAGG
Molecule: ribosomal RNA, 400 nt
Filed under: uncultured bacterium
Lineage: Bacteria
Description: bacterial SSU rRNA
Rfam family: Bacterial small subunit ribosomal RNA
Source: RNAcentral